GGUUGUGGCUUAGCGGUAGAGUGCUUGCCUUGCGUGUGUGAGGCACUGGGUUUAAUCCUCAGCACCA
RNAcentral lists this transfer RNA (67 nucleotides) under Marmota monax (woodchuck). Its description in RNAcentral is "tRNA.Ala". Lineage: Eukaryota; Metazoa; Chordata; Mammalia; Rodentia; Sciuridae. The record is from RNAcentral.